CCCAGAUAAUACCCACACACAGAGUGUCCCCAGAUAAUACCCACACACAGACUUCCCCUAGAUAAUACCCACACACGGAGUGCCCCCAGAUAAUACCCACAUACAGUGUGCCCCCAGAUAAUACCCACACACAGACUUCCCCUAGAUAAUACCCACACACGGAGUGCCCCUAGAUAAUACCCACACACAGAGUGCCCCCAGAUAAUACCCACAUACAGAGUGCUCCCAGAUAAUACCCACAUACAGCGUGCCCCCAGAUAAUACCCACACACAGAGUGCCCCUAGAUAAUACCCACAUACAGAGUGCCCCCAGAUAAUACCCACAUACAAACUUCCCCUAGAUAAUACCCACAUACAGAGUGCCCCUAGAUAAUAUCCACAUGCAGUGUGCCCCCAGAUAAUACCCACAUACAGAGUGC
Molecule: non-coding RNA, 419 nt
Organism: Pelobates cultripes (western spadefoot toad)
Lineage: Eukaryota; Metazoa; Chordata; Amphibia; Anura; Pelobatidae
Source: the annotation of a GenBank genome assembly